RNAcentral lists this ribosomal RNA (403 nucleotides) under uncultured bacterium. Its description in RNAcentral is "partial 16S ribosomal RNA". It matches the Rfam family "Bacterial small subunit ribosomal RNA", at positions 28 to 526 of the family's 1533-position model. The record is from RNAcentral.
GACGAACGCUGGCGGCGUGCCUAAUACAUGCAAGUCGAACGCAGUGGGGACGGGUGAGUAACACGUGGGUAACCUCCCAUCAGAGGGGAUAACACUUGGAAACAGGUGCUAAACCGAUACUGAUGGAUGGACCCGCGGUGCAUUAGCUAGUUGGUGAGGUAACGGCUCACCAAGGGCACGAUGCAUAGCAGAACGGAGAGGGUGAUCGGCCACACUGGGACUGAGACACGGCCCAGACUCCUACGGGAGGCAGCAGUAGGGAAUCUUCGGCAAUGGACGAAAGUCUGACCGAGCAACGCCGCGUGAGUGAAGAAGGUUUUCGGAUCGUAAAACUCUGUUGUUAGAGAGGCGUUAUCUAACCAGAAAGCAACGGCUAACUACGUGCCAGCAGCCGCGGUAAUAC